AUGCAAGUCGAACGCGAAAGGGGCUUCGGCCCUGAGUAGAGUGGCAAACGGGUGAGUAACGCGUGGGUGACCUACCUUCGAGUGGGGGAUAACGUUCCGAAAGGAGCGCUAAUACCGCAUGAAGUUCCGGGUUUGAACAUCUGGAAACCAAAGCCGGGGAUCGCAAGACCUGGCGCUUGGAGAGGGGCCCGCGUCUGAUUAGCUAGUUGGCGGGGUAACGGCCCACCAAGGCGACGAUCAGUAGCCGGCCUGAGAGGGCGGACGGCCACACUGGGACUGAGACACGGCCCAGACUCCUACGGGAGGCAGCAGUGGGGAAUUGUUCGCAAUGGGCGCAAGCCUGACGACGCAACGCCGCGUGGGGGAUGAAGGUCUUCGGAUUGUAAACCCCUGUCGAGCGGGACGAAUGACUCGCGGUUUAACACAUCGCGGGAAUGACGGUACCGCUAAAGGAAGCCACGGCUAACUCUGUGCCAGCAGCCGCGGUAAUACAGAGGUGGCAAGCGUUGUUCGGAAUUACUGGGCGUAAAGGGCGCGUAGGCGGCCUUCUAAGUCAGACGUGAAAUCCCCCGGCUUAACCUGGGAACUGCGUCUGAUACUGGAAGGCUUGAGUGCGGGAGAGGGAUGUGGAAUUCCAGGUGUAGCGGUGAAAUGCGUAGAUAUCUGGAGGAACACCGGUGGCGAAGGCGGCAUCCUGGACCGACACUGACGCUGAGGCGCGAAAGCUAGGGUAGCAAACGGGAUUAGAUACCCCGGUAGUCCUAGCCCUAAACGAUGAGUGCUUGGUGUGGCGGGUAUCGAUCCCUGCCGUGCCGAAGCUAACGCAUUAAGCACUCCG
Molecule: ribosomal RNA, 838 nt
Filed under: uncultured Bacillota bacterium
Lineage: Bacteria; Bacillati; Bacillota
Description: bacterial SSU rRNA
Rfam family: Bacterial small subunit ribosomal RNA
Source: RNAcentral